GGUGCCGCAGGGCACGGGUGCCCUGGCGGCGCUGCAGCCGACGCUCGGCGGCGGCCCGUUCAACACGGCCGUGGCGCUG
Molecule: transfer RNA, 79 nt
Filed under: Streptomyces massasporeus
Lineage: Bacteria; Bacillati; Actinomycetota; Actinomycetes; Kitasatosporales; Streptomycetaceae
Description: tRNA-Cys
Source: RNAcentral